CGGAGUGGUUCUGGUCAGAGGGCUCUAAGCUGGUGCAGCCUUGUGGUUGGGCUGGUGUCCUGGAGGCUGGCCCUGACCAUGCCCAGAGGGUUGUACCAGGGCCACGGAGAGCCAGUAUUCACAGCCCUCUACCUAGUAGGCCACCUGGGGGAUCCCAUCUCACUGCCAGGAGCAGCACCCUUGGGCCUCUCAGAGUGAGCUUCGCCCUAGCCAGAUGCCCCUCCCCGAUAUCUGCCAGACAAAGGGGGCUGCGCCACUUGCUGAGAAAGGGAGCUGGGAGAGCCACUGGUCCUUGGCCACCUGAGGGGCUUGGCCAGAUUCUGCCGGGCAGGGUGGGCCCAGCCUGCAUGCUCCCUCCCCCCAGGGCCUGCAGCUUGUCCCCUUCCCUUCAGAAUUCCGGCUCUGCUGGGCCCUUCCUGCCCCUCCCCACCUCUUCCUGCCUGGCUCCCUGGGGAGGCCCCUGCUUCCAUCCACUGGGAAGCAGUCCAGUAGCCCCAGUGUGGGGGUGGGAGGCAGUGGCGGAGGGUCCCGGACCCUCAGCAGCUGCCCUCAGAUCUUCCAUGCCAGUGGCAGCCAGGAGCAUUAGGGCAGGGGGAGAGCUCAGGGUUUAGGACGAGGAAUCCACAGACAGAUGAGGGUCCCGCCUGGAGGACCCACGGGGACGGGGCCUGGCCUUCCCAUGAGGGAGCUGGAGGCUCUGGGGCUGCACCUUUGACUCAGCAGCGGGGUGCUGCCAGCCCCAUCAGGGCCCAAUUGGUGGGGAUCAGGGGCGUGUCAGUGCCAGGCAGGUGUGAGAGGGAGAGCAGCAUGUGUUGAAGCAGGUGCACUGGAGAGGCAGCCGAGAAGGUGAGCUCCCUGGGGAAGGACUGGCACAAGUUCUGCCUCAAGUGCGAGCGCUGCAGCAAGACGCUGACGCCCGGGGGCCACGCCGAGCAUGACGGGAAGCCGUUCUGCCACAAGCCGUGCUACGCCACCCUGUUCGGACCCAAAGGCGUGAACAUCGGGGGCGCGGGCUCCUACAUCUACGAGAAGCCCCUGGCGGAGGGGCCGCAGGUCACCGGCCCCAUCGAGGUCCCCGCGGCCCGAGCAGAGGAGCGGAAGGCGAGCGGCCCCCCGAAGGGGCCCAGCAGAGCCUCCAGUGUCACCACUUUCACCGGGGAGCCCAACACGUGCCCGCGCUGCAGCAAGAAGGUGUACUUCGGUGAGUGCGCGCCCGGGCCCCGGACCCCCGCCCCCGCCCCUGCCCCGGGGCUCGGCCUCACUCCUCCCCCUUUCCAGCUGAGAAGGUGACGUCUCUGGGCAAGGAUUGGCACCGGCCCUGCCUGCGCUGCGAGCGCUGCGGGAAGACACUGACCCCCGGCGGGCACGCGGAGCACGACGGCCAGCCCUACUGCCACAAGCCCUGCUAUGGAAUCCUCUUCGGACCCAAGGGAGUGAACACCGGCGCGGUGGGCAGCUACAUCUAUGACCGGGACCCCGAAGGCAAGGUCCAGCCCUAGGCUACAGCGGCUCUCGUGAUGUGGGCUCACCUGCGCCCCAGACCCUGCAGGGGCUCCCCUGCUUGGCUCUGCUGGGAGAGUGCUCAGCCGCCUAGUCCUGCCUGCAAGCCCAGGGCGAGUAUUGGAGGAGGGGCAGCCACGGGCAGAGCGCCAUGCCCAUCCCCGAGUCUCUGGUGUGUCUGCCCCCUCUGGCAUCCUCUGGGCGUCCCAUGAUCCCUUCUGUGUCUGCGUGUCCGAAUCCCCGUGUGACCCUGUCCCAGCAUUUUCCCGCCGACCCUGCGUGUCCCCGUGGCGCUGUCCGCUCUCCCUCUCCUGCUGCCCACCCACCUGCCAGUGUUAUUUAUGCUCCCUUCGUGGGUGAUGGCCACGCCCUCACCAUGUCCCUGGCAGAGGGCUUUCCUCCGGGAUCCCCUGCCUGGUGCCCACACUGCCUCGCAAGCGCUCGCCACCCUCACGUGGCUCACCUGCUGU
This 1970-nucleotide small RNA is filed under the name Pan troglodytes (chimpanzee). Its description in RNAcentral is "processed transcript". The record is from RNAcentral. Lineage: Eukaryota; Metazoa; Chordata; Mammalia; Primates; Hominidae.